GUUUUCUUAUCCUUUUGUUGCUUCUUCUGUAGCUAAUUAUUCUACUACUGUAAAUAUGUUUUUACCGAUAUAUACACACUCCUUCGUGGUAUUUAUGAUGUACGUAUAUUCUCUUCUUUUUUUAGGUUUUCUACCCUGUAUACUGUACCCACUCUGGGGUCAUAACUAAUCCCGAUCGCGUAAGGCCCAUUUAAGGAAAAACUGAACGGACACUAUCUAGUUGGUCAUAACUAAUCCCGAUCGCACCCACAACAUCUUAUGUAAUACAAAUACUCUCACAGAUAAAUUAGUUAUGCGUAGCAAGGACACUAUCUAAUUGGUUCCAAAAACUGAAAGUAGCACUACAAAUCAACUUCUGACCCGAUAGUACAAUGAUCCUAAAAUGUUCUUUUUUUAAUCAAAAGUAAUUCUUUUCUUUCCUUUUUCCUUUGAUUUCAAUAGAGGCUCACAGUUACAAACAAGUCUUUAUUUUCCCAAGCAUGUUUGCAGGACGGGUCUCAGUAAACACGUUAUUCAUUUUCAACUAUCCAAAUAGAACUAUUGCAAAACCAAGAUAGGAAUUACCAACUCAAAGGCUUUAGCAAAAUUCACCCACCACUGUUCCUCUCCCCAAAACCAAAGCCUCCAUGGACAUCAUCAAAACCAUUAGAAGUUGUACUGAUAUGACCAUUGAAAUCUCCACCAAUGAAAAUCUUUUCGGUGCCCAGUAUUACCUCAUCCAAAUCCUCCCAAAAGAGCUUUUUGACUUCAUCAUCCAGGCCCAUAUGAGGCUCAUAAAUACUAACAACGUUCACAAUAAGCCUACUGAUAACUAGCUUAAUUGUCAUCAUCCUAUUACUGACCCUCUUAACCUCCACCACACACUCCCUAAAAUCCCCGUCAACUAGAAUACCUACUCCAUUCCUAUCCCUUGAGCCUUUUGAGUACUACAAUUUAAACUUGUCCAUAUCCUGAGCUUUGGUACCUACCUAUCUAGUCUUCUGAACACAAGCUAUAUUAAUCUUUCUCCUCUUAAGACUCUUCAUUAGCUCUAUGUACUUCCCUGUAAGUGACCCUAUGUUUCACGAUCCUACUCUCAACCUAAGAAAACCCGUCCUCCUUUUACCACUAUUUCCCCUCGCCUCCGCCCCCAAUCGAGGACAUGACCCUUAUCCACAAUCAAUCCACAAAGCCACUAAAUAGGAUAUGAACUACAAAGUGAUAGACUGAGAACAAAUAAAUCGAGAGAAUACAGUAAAUCAAGAAGAUACAAGUAACGAGAUAAUAUUAGAUAGAACAAUAAAAUAUAAAAUAGAGACAAUGCACGAUAACUAAGAAAAAAUCUAGAACAAUAAUGGUAAGAAAAAAUCAAGAACAAUAACUGUAAGUAAAAUAAUCAAGAACAAUAGCUGUAAGCAAAAAAAAUCAAGAACGAUAGGCUACCACACCUAAUUCAAACGGAUCAAGAAGUAAUAUUAGAAGAUGAACUGGUGCACACGAAAUCAGUCAAGGAAAGACAGAACCUGGAGCUGCAGACAAUCGCCAGAAAGAUGCUGGCAUAAGCAGUGGCGGCGGCAUGAGAUCUGGAAACCCUUCGCUGGUGAAGGAUCGGAGAAAGAUUCUGAUCAGAAAACCCUGGACGUUGCUGGAUAUUGGUAAAUCUAGUUCAGAUCUGGGCAGAUCUAUUUCGCCGAGAAAAGAAAGGAGGAGACCAAAAACUUCGCCGGAAAAUAAAAAAGAAGAAUAAUUUCGCCGGUAGAUCUUCCGAUUUGCAACAAGAAAAUAUGUAACCAAAUGUGUAAGAGGCCUAGAAGAUACGUGACCGGAAAGAUUGACCUGAAAUUCCUAGUUAUGUAUAUACAUACCUAGUUAAUCAUAUUUGACGGAGUUUAAUUUCUGUACCCUGACAUCUUUUAAAGAUCCGUAUAUUAUUCUGCCUAGUCGACAAUAGACAUUCAAAGCAUGGGUCACUUUGAAUUUUAUCUAUAUGUGUCAGCAGCUUCCUUCCGAGGAAUGCUGAUUUUGAUAUGAAGGAAUUGUGAUUACAAUUCCAGAAAAAGAAUAGAUAUAAAUGAAUAAAACAUUGACCUCUUAUGGCACUAUUUAUUGGAGUAGUUCAAUCAAAUUUUUAGCUUACUGACCUUUUAUGUCGUUAUUCCUUAAUGUUGUUUAAUGAAAUCUUUAACUUAGGGCCUUGAAUUGGAGAACCCUGAAAAGGGAUCUUGAAUUGGAGAACCCUGAAAAGGGAUUAAAACUCGGAUGGAGGACAUGCUUAAAUUAAAAACAAAGAUCAAUAAAGAGAGCUAACCUUUAUAUGGUGCUAGAUGUAGGACUUGUUAGCACAAUUCUUUCGAUUACACCCUUAAAAUAGAAAAUAAAUGAAACCAAAGAUUAGAUCUCAGAUGGGCACAUACAUAGGAGGUCGUCAAAAAGAAAGGAAAGAUCAAAGACAGCAUGACAAAUGAUUCAUCCUCGUUAUUUUAUUAGCAAGGAUGUAAGGGGAGUGAGCGAAAAAGUCAAGUGAGGUUCUUAAAAGCUGCCAUGAGUUAGAUGACAGAUGAGAAAAAUAGGAGACCAAUGUAUAGAAAAAUAGGCUUGCAGAUUUUUGACGAAGCUUGAUUUAUAGGCUCUAACGAUGCUGUUAGUUUUACUAGAUCACCAUUAUUGACUUUAAAAAUUACUCAAAAAGUUUAGAUAUUAAAGGGAAGCUAUGAGAAUGCUCUUUAAAUGAUGUGUGUUGCUAUUAUGUUCGUUUCUAUCUUUGACAAGUGGAAGCCGUAAUCUGUCAUAAAUGUAAACAUAUUGUGUUUCUCGUGACUCUUUUUUUGUCAGAAUGCAAAAACUGGAGCAAAAUGGGGAAAAAGAGGUUAAAAAGAAAUACUUUUUAUGGUGCUUUUCUUUAGAGUUGUUCAAUUAAAUCUUUAGCAUAGGGCCUUGACUUAUAAAAUCAUGAAAAGUGAUUAGAACUCAGGCGGACAUGCUUAAACUGAAAACAAAGAUGAAUAGAGAGAGCUAACCUUUAUAUGGUGCCAUAUCUAGGACUUGUUCGCACAAUUCUUUAGAUUCAAGCCUUAAAACAGAAAACAAUGAAACCAAUGAUUAGAUCUCAAACCCAGAAUAACACAUAAAAUUUUAGACAUUAAACCAACUGUGAUUACUAUUAUGAAAAAAAGAAUAGAUAGAAAUGAAGAAAACUGACCUCUUAUGGUGGUGCUUUUCAUUAGGAACUGUUGAAUGGUGUCUGUUAGUCAGGGUUUCUCCCGCUUUAACAAUCAAUCAUAUAACAAAAUGAAUUUUUGGCCUUAGAUAAGACUUGGCUCCUUAACCUUCCUACAUUGUCUCCAUCUCGCCUCAGUUGAAAACUGACAAAUCUCAUCCAGAUCUCUGAACCCAAGGAAAAAAUUAAUUUAAAAGAGCAACCAACAACAGUAGCAUAUAUGUACAAUAAGUACGAAAGUGACUCUUUCCAUAGAGACAUAACAACCAUCUAGACAUAAAGCUUUAUAAAUAGUAAAAUUCAAAUUUAUUUCUGGAAAAGACUUUCUAGACUAUCAAAAUUAGCAUUCCUUGGAAGGAAGCUGCUGACACAUAGAUAAAAUUUAAAGUGACCCAUGGUUUGAAUGACUAUUCUCGAUUAGGUAGAAUAAAUACGGAUUUUUAAAUCAGGGUAUAGAAAUUAAACUCCGUCAAAUAUAAUUAACCAGGUGUGUAUAAACAUAACUAGGAAUUUCAGGUCAAUCUUUCCGGUCACGUAUCUUCUAGGCCUCUUACAUAUUUGGUUACAUAUUUUCUUGUUGCAAAUCGGAAGAUCUACCGGCGAAAUUCUUCUUUUUUUGUAAUUUUUCCGGCGAAGUUUUUGGUCUCCUCCUUUCUUUUCUCGGCGAAAUAAAUCUGUCAAGAUCUGAACUAGAUCUACCAAUUUUCGGCAGCUUCCAGCAUAUUCUGGCAACAUCCACGGUUUUCUGGUCAGAAUCUUUCUCCGAUCUUUCCUCGGCGAAGGGUUUCCAGAUCUCACACCGCCGCCACUGCUGACGCCGGCAUCUUUCCGGCCACUGUCUGCAGCUCCAGGUUCUGUUUUUCCUUAACUGAUUUCGUGUGCACCAAUUCAUCUUCUAAUAUUACUUCUAGAUCAGUUUGAGUUAGUUGUGGUAGCCUAUUGUUCUUGAUUUUUUUGCUUACAGUUAUUGUUCUUGAUUUUUUCUUACCAUUAUUGUUCUUGAUUUUCUUUUCUCUUUCUCCACUUAUUGUUACUGUUCUUGAUUUCUUGUAUUUGCUUAUUAGUUACUGUGCAUUGUCUCUAUUCUACAUUUUAUUGUCAUGUCUACUAUUAUCUCGUUGCUUGUAUCUUCUUGAUUUACUGUAUUCACUCGAUUUAUUUGUUCUUAGUUUAUCACUUUGUAGUUCAUAUCCUAUUUAGUGGCUUUGGAGACUGAUGGUGGACUAGAGUCACAUCCUCGAUUGGGGUGCGAGGGAAAUAGUGGUAAGAGGGGGACGGAUUUUCUUAAGUUGAGAGCAGGAUUGUGGAACAUAGGGUCAGUUACAUGGAAGUUCAUAGAGCUAGUGCAGAGUCUUAAGAGGAGAAAGAUUAAUAUAGCUUGUGUUCAUUUGACCAAUUGUAACUUCGUGAUUUCAAACAGGUCGAAGCCAUCAUUGAUCACCAAUUGGUGCGCGGCAAGGGGUGGAACAAUUCAAGUGCGCAGUUCCUUGUGCAUUGGAAGGGGACUUCGCCAGAGGAGGCAACUUGGGAAAAAUAUGAGGACUUGUGGCAGUUUCGCAACAAGGUCCAGGAGUACUUGCUACUGUGUGGCGCCAGGGUCGUCGCCAACUCAGGUGGGGGAGCGUGUGCCGCCCCGCACGGAGCUACAUUAGAUUCCAGCAGUUCGGGGGUCCAGGCAGCCUCAAACACUGUGCCAGCAUGCAGCCUGCAGUGUGGGAGAAAGUCGCGAGAAUUCUUGGUCACAUGAUUGUUACAGGUUCUGGAAUAAUGUCUUUGCUCAGGCAUGUCAUCAGGCACUUGCAAGUAAGUGCUUGUGGACAUUUUACUAAAUCCAACUUGAGCAAUAACCAAUGCGGUACUAUUUAUGAAACACACCAGCUUUUGAGGUGUUUUUGGAUGGAAAGCAAGUGAAAAUGGAAUCAUCUGCAGGAACAAGCUUUUGGACUUCCAAAUUGCAGCACAAAGUAUAUAGAAUUUCUGUAUGAUGACUUAGUUACCCGGUGGUUCUAUGUGCUUCAAGCGGUGACAGCUUUAUUACAUGCCUUCAAAUGUGUGAUUUAUUAUGUAAAUGUCUUUGGUUAAUGGUAGAUGGCUCAACAAUCGGUGCUGCUCAUCAACAAUCGGUGCUGCUCGAAGCAAUUCACAAUAUCACCGAUCAAACAAUACUAUAACCGAACUAGAGGCUAGGGAAAUUCUUGUUGUAGGUGUGUCAUUGCAUCCUGCUGUUUCUGGACUGGUAUUGGAGUGCAUUGCUCAUGAAUUCGUCUCUUUAUCAAUUUUUUCAAAGUGGCACAUUUGACUAUAAAAUCCUAGUGAGUUGUGUUGAAGCAAUGCCCCUGAUAUGGUGAAAUAGAUGGCAGCAAAACAAUGAAUGCGGAGGACAUUAAGAGUGGAAGUAAUGUUCGCUACUUGAUCGAUCGAGUCCAUCAGGAAUGAGGAGAAGGGAGAAAAUGGAGAAGCAGAGCUCGAGGAAUAAGAUGAUCUAUCUAAGGAUUAAAAGCAAGCAUAUAGUGGUAAAAAUCAAUUCGAGUGUUUACAUCAAUCCAAUCAGUAAGUUUUUACCGUGAAGCAUUUUUGUUACACUUUAAACAUUCUCGUGAAGAGACGUGUUUCCCAAUAUGAGGAUGGAAAGAAAAAAGAGUAGUGGUUAGGCUUAUAGGUAGAUAGAUAGAUAUGUAUUGCCGAAAAGUUUGACAAUUAUUAGGAUAGAUAGAAUUACGGAGUCUUGGCUGACUCUGACAAAGUUUGAAAUAUUGAACCUUACAUUAAUCUUUCAGAGGAAAGAAGAAUUUUACUCUUUGCAAAAUCUUUUAUCUUAUCUGUUAGCAGUAGCAGUAGCAGUUGCGGGGGGACUCGAUAUAUUUUCAAGAAAGCACUCCUUGUUGUCUCUA
Molecule: RNA transcript, 6087 nt
Organism: Solanum dulcamara
Lineage: Eukaryota; Viridiplantae; Streptophyta; Magnoliopsida; Solanales; Solanaceae
Gene name: E3 ubiquitin-protein ligase ORTHRUS 3-like
Exons: 3
Source: RefSeq, a predicted model, not a curated record